RNAcentral lists this ribosomal RNA (248 nucleotides) under uncultured bacterium. RNAcentral describes it as "partial 16S ribosomal RNA". It matches the Rfam family "Bacterial small subunit ribosomal RNA", at positions 86 to 334 of the family's 1533-position model. The record is from RNAcentral.
UUUGACUGAGUGGCGGACGGGUGAGUAACGCGUGGGUAACCUGCCUUGUACAGGGGGAUAACAGUUGGAAACGGCUGCUAAUACCGCAUAAGCGCACAGUACCGCAUGGUACGGUGUGAAAAACUCCGGUGGUAUGAGAUGGACCCGCGUCUGAUUAGGUAGUUGGUGGGGUAACGGCCUACCAAGCCGACGAUCAGUAGCCGACCCGAGAGGGUGACCGGCCACAUUGGGACUGAGACACGGCCCAA